RNAcentral lists this ribosomal RNA (807 nucleotides) under uncultured bacterium. RNAcentral describes it as "bacterial SSU rRNA". It matches the Rfam family "Bacterial small subunit ribosomal RNA", at positions 34 to 887 of the family's 1533-position model. The record is from RNAcentral.
CACUGGCCGCAUGCCUAGCACAUGCAAGUCUAACGAACCCUUCGGGGUUAGUGGCGCACGGGUGCGUAACGCGUGGGAAUCUGCCCUUUGCUUCGGAAUAACUCAGGGAAACUUGUGCUAAUACCGGAUGAUGUCGAAAGACCAAAGAUUUAUCGGCAAGGGAUGAGCCCGCGUAGGAUUAGGUAGUUGGUGGGGUAAAGGCCUACCAAGCCGACGAUCCUUAGCUGGUCUGAGAGGAUGAUCAGCCACACUGGUACUGAGACACGGCCCAGACUCCUACGGGAGGCAGCAGUGGGGAAUAUUGGACAAUGGGCGAAAGCCUGAUCCAGCAAUGCCGCGUGAGUGAUGAAGGCCUUAGGGUCGUAAAGCUCUUUUACCAGGGAUGAUAAUGACAGUACCUGGAGAAUAAGCUCCGGCUAACUCCGUGCCAGCAGCCGCGGUAAUACGGAGGGAGCUAGCGUUGUUCGGAAUUACUGGGCGUAAAGCGUACGUAGGCGGUUAUUCAAGUCAGAGGUGAAAGCCCGGGGCUCAACCCCGGAACGGCCUUUGAAACUAGGUAGCUAGAAUCUUGGAGAGGUCAGUGGAAUUCCGAGUGUAGAGGUGAAAUUCGUAGAUAUUCGGAAGAACACCAGUGGCGAAGGCGACUGACUGGACAAGUAUUGACGCUGAGGUACGAAAGCGUGGGGAGCAAACAGGAUUAGAUACCCUGGUAGUCCACGCCGUAAACGAUGAUAACUAGCUGUCCGGGCACUUGGUGCCUGGGUGGCGCAGCUAACGCAUUAAGUUAUCCGCCUGGGGAGUACGGUC